This 641-nucleotide ribosomal RNA is filed under the name Methanosarcina sp. enrichment culture clone A09. RNAcentral describes it as "bacterial SSU rRNA". It matches the Rfam family "Archaeal small subunit ribosomal RNA", at positions 60 to 700 of the family's 1478-position model. Lineage: Archaea; Methanobacteriati; Methanobacteriota; Methanomicrobia; Methanosarcinales; Methanosarcinaceae. The record is from RNAcentral.
AUAUGUUCUUCGUGAACAUGGCGUACUGCUCAGUAACACGUGGAUAACCUGCCCUUGGGUCCGGCAUAACCCCGGGAAACUGGGGAUAAUUCCGGAUAACGCAUAUAUGCUGGAAUGCUUUAUGCGUCAAAUGGAUUCGUCUGCCCAAGGAUGGGUCUGCGGCCUAUCAGGUAGUAGUGGGUGUAAUGUACCUACUAGCCGACGACGGGUACGGGUUGUGAGAGCAAGAGCCCGGAGAUGGAUUCUGAGACAUGAAUCCAGGCCCUACGGGGCGCAGCAGGCGCGAAAACUUUACAAUGCGGGAAACCGUGAUAAGGGGACACCGAGUGCCAGCAUCAUAUGCUGGCUGUCCGGGUGUGUAAAAUACACCUGUUAGCAAGGGCCGGGCAAGACCGGUGCCAGCCGCCGCGGUAACACCGGCGGCCCGAGUGGUGAUCGUGAUUAUUGGGUCUAAAGGGUCCGUAGCCGGUUUGGUCAGUCCUCCGGGAAAUCUGACGGCUUAACCGUUAGGCUUUCGGAGGAUACUGCCAGGCUUGGAACCGGGAGAGGUAAGAGGUACUACAGGGGUAGGAGUGAAAUCUUGUAAUCCCUGUGGGACCACCUGUGGCGAAGGCGUCUUACCAGAACGGGUUCGACGGUGA